RNAcentral lists this transfer RNA (82 nucleotides) under Cordylochernes scorpioides. RNAcentral describes it as "tRNA-Thr". The stretch from base 6 to 68 matches the Rfam family "tRNA", at positions 6 to 65 of the family's 71-position model. Rfam says of the family: Transfer RNA (tRNA) molecules are approximately 80 nucleotides in length. The record is from RNAcentral. Lineage: Eukaryota; Metazoa; Arthropoda; Arachnida; Pseudoscorpiones; Chernetidae.
AUAAAGGUAGCCUAGUGGACAUGGGCAUCUGCCCGGUAAGCGGAACACUGUGGGUUUGAUUCCCAUCCCUGGACACUUUAUU